UGUGGAGUGGAGCUCUCUGCGACUUGGUUGUAUUUAGUGAGCUGUGUGUGGUUGUAUCGGAUUUUACUGUACUGUGUAUAUGUGUAUGUAUGUGUGUUGACAGAUUUGCUUGUGUGUGACUGUGUGUACACUUUCGCCCGUGUUUGUCAGUAUAUGUAGGAUUGUGUGAGUUCACAGGUUUGUUUGUGUGUAUGUGUAUGUAUGUGUGUACGUUUUCUUGUGCAUGUGUGUGUCCCUGUGUGUAUGUUUGUGUCUGUGAUGUGCGUUUUUAUUGGUGUGCUUGUGUGUAAGUAUGUGUGUACCUGUUCAUGUGUGAUUGGGUUUUGUGUGAAUCUGGGUGUUUGUAAGAGUUUGUCUGUGUGAGUAUAAGUACACUUUUGUGUAUUUCUGUAUGUGCUUCUGUGUGUGCCUCUGUGUGUGUGUGUGUGUGUGUGUGUGUGUGUGUGUGUGUGUGUGUGUGUGUUCCCAUCCCCUUUUGCCCCUUCUUGUAUCUAUAUUACCUUCACCUCAGUGCAAGCGAGUGUAGAGGCCAGAAGUCAGCCCGGGCUCCUGUUCCUAAGGUAG
This 564-nucleotide long non-coding RNA is filed under the name Rattus norvegicus (Norway rat). RNAcentral describes it as "long non-coding RNA NONRATT000221". The record is from RNAcentral. Lineage: Eukaryota; Metazoa; Chordata; Mammalia; Rodentia; Muridae.